Molecule: microRNA, 22 nt
Filed under: Daphnia magna
Lineage: Eukaryota; Metazoa; Arthropoda; Branchiopoda; Diplostraca; Daphniidae
Description: Dma-Mir-282-v2_3p (mature (guide))
Source: RNAcentral
CAACGUCUUGGAGAGCGCUACU